Long non-coding RNA from Hyalella azteca, 1162 nucleotides. RefSeq lists it as uncharacterized. Lineage: Eukaryota; Metazoa; Arthropoda; Malacostraca; Amphipoda; Hyalellidae. The record is from RefSeq and is a predicted model, not a curated record. The transcript has 3 exons.
ACCUGUGCUCAACUCCCAGCCUAUUGCUGGUGAUCAGUGAAAUGCUGCUCAUUUUGCCUUCGAGACAAUUCAAAAUAAAGACUGCAUGGCUGACGGGGAGAAGCUGAUUGAGCUGACGAGCAGGAACAGCGAGCAAUAGGAGCAGGAGCAAGAACAAAGUCAGAGGAUCACGCAUUUCCUCGAGUCCUAUAACGCCAUUAUUCGGACGCUGUCUGAAACUUUCGUGAGGAUGGACGACAUUGUGACGCGAGCUGAGAUUGCGGCGCAGCCCAAGCGAUCCUUUGACUGAGCUUCUGUGAGAGCUUAACUUCUGACGUCUUCUCCACAAGUAUCGGCCUAAUUCUAGUGGAGAAUUUGAUUAUAUUCAUGCAUACAUAACCACGACGUCUUCUCACCAAGCAUCGGCCUAUUUUUUGUGGAUAAUUUGAUGAUAUUCAUGCAUUCAUGACCACGACGUCUUCUCACCAUGGAUCGACCUAAUUCUUGUGGAGAAUUUGAUAAUAUUCAUGCAUGCAUGACCACGACGUCUUCUCACCAAGCAUCGGCCUAUUUUUUGUGGAUAAUUUGAUGAUAUUCAUGCAUACAUGACCACGACGUCUUCUCACCAAUCAUCUGCCGAAUUGAUCUUGAUGAUUCGAUGAUAUUCAUAACUACACAGUCACGAUGUCUUCUCACCCAGCAUCGGAGAAAUCUAAUUCAACCAUAUUCAUUCAUAUAUGAAAGCCAUGUGAUUUAUUUAACCACAUGUUAAUAUAGAACAAUUUUCUUAAUAACUGGAGUAUAAUGGAGCAGUUCCAGAAAACGUUUGCUUGCUGUUAUUAUGUAGCGUAUUGCUGCGAGAUGAUAUUAGGUUUCCUGGCUGGGAUGUAUGGAAAACUGAUGUUCUAAAGCUGAAGUUUACCUGACGCAAAUUUCCGGCUGGGAAACAUAUAAGUUUAAAGUUGUACAAUUGUUUUAUUGAUAUCACUGAAAAAUUGUACUAAGUUUUGCACUCAAUAUCUCUAGUUGGUUUCAUUUAGUUACAAUUUUAAUACUGUAGUUUUCUCAUGAAAGACCAAUCUUAUUGUCUUUUGUAUCACUUCAAUGCUUUUAAUUUGUAUAUAAGCUGCCGCACUACAUCUGGUGUAACGAAGGUGUUCUUAUAAUGCACUGCUGAACAGUU